UCACUCUGGUUUCCCUUCAGUUACACGCAUAAAUCUUUCGCCUUUUACUAAAGAUUUCCGUGGAGGGGAACAAAUGAUGAGUCUUUAACUUAUUUUUUGUUGUACCUGGCAAUAGCCAGGUC
This is a small nuclear RNA of Microplitis demolitor, 122 nucleotides long. RefSeq annotates it as U5 spliceosomal RNA. The record is from RefSeq and is a predicted model, not a curated record. Lineage: Eukaryota; Metazoa; Arthropoda; Insecta; Hymenoptera; Braconidae. The transcript has a single exon.